This 406-nucleotide ribosomal RNA is filed under the name uncultured bacterium. Its description in RNAcentral is "partial 16S ribosomal RNA". It matches the Rfam family "Bacterial small subunit ribosomal RNA", at positions 30 to 526 of the family's 1533-position model. The record is from RNAcentral.
AUUGAACGCUGGCGGCAGGCCUAACACAUGCAAGUCGAACGAGUGGCGGACGGGUGAGUAAUGUCUGGGAAACUGCCCGAUGGAGGGGGAUAACUACUGGAAACGGUAGCUAAUACCGCAUACCAUCGGAUGUGCCCAGAUGGGAUUAGCUAGUGGGUGGGGUAACGGCUCACCUAGGCGACGAUCCCUAGCUGGUCUGAGUGGAUGACCAUCCACACGUGAACUGCGACACGGUCCAGACUCCUAGGUGAGGCAGCGGUUGGGCGUGUUGCACAAUGGGCGGAAGCCUGAUGCAGCCAUGCCGCGUGUAUGAAGAAGGCCGUCGGGUUGUAAAGUACUUUCAGCGAGGAGGCGUUACUCGCAGAAGAAGCACCGGCUAACUCCGUGCCAGCAGCCGCGGUAAUUC